Tachysurus vachellii is the source of this 1057-nucleotide long non-coding RNA. RefSeq lists it as uncharacterized. Lineage: Eukaryota; Metazoa; Chordata; Actinopteri; Siluriformes; Bagridae. The transcript is spliced from 2 exons. The record is from RefSeq and is a predicted model, not a curated record.
UCUGUGCCUUACCUCGGAGUAGUCAAUUAUCAAAGCGCCCCAAAGAUCAUCAAUCACGAGGCAAGCUUGAAAGUUUAGAGGAGGAGCAAUGACUGGGCCAUCGAUUGCAAUACUGCUGGCCCUUUUCCCUAAUGCCAAGCGCUUUUUUGAGCUCAAAACCCAAAGAGGUCAUCCAUCCCUUUUUAAUAUUUAGCCACAUCAGUGACAAUAGCCUACACACCGCCGCGCGCGUGACAUCAUCGCCUUAUUGAUAGGGGCUUUUGCAUCUAAGCGGCUACAUUUAAAGCUCCGUGACCUGUUUUGUUUCUGAAUUAACAAUUUCACCGCUUAUAGAGAGACCCGCUCAUCUAGUAGUGUAGAAUGAAUUCAGCUAACAACCGUCAAAUAAAAUACCAUAAAGACGCGGCAGUUGUGUGGUUUUCAGUAUCUGUGGGACAGUUUUCAGAAUGUUUUCGGCAAAAACAAACAUGUUUGGUGAGAUAAAGAUAAGAGAAGCGCAAGGAGAAAAGUGGAAGCCGGUCGGCUGUGCGGAUUCCACACUAUAGAAGGGGGAAACUCCAGCGGCCAGCUCUCUCCCUCCACACCGUGAUCAGAGCGCUGCGACGCACACAGCGGGCAGCAUGCCGACUCCCACUCUCUCCUCACUCUCUCACACACGCCUGUCGGGCUUUUCCCGGAGAAAAAAAAUUGCAUUUCCCCCUUGGUUCUGGAAGUAUUCACACGAUCAAGCAAGGUACCCAGGUAAUUACCGUACAUUGUCAAAUAAAGGCACAAUAAAGGGACUACUGAUUCAAAUGAGGAGUGAAAUAUCAAAGAAAGGGGUUCCCUUUGCAGCCAGGCACUUAUCCACACAGGAGACAGCAACGAGACGACUGCCACAGGGACACUCACACAGCCUCUGAUAACAACAUGCUCAGACUCCUUGGUACAUAUAUCACACCACAAUAUUUUGCACACAGAAGCAUUGCACCACACUUACGUAUUCUCAGAGUCUCACUUCAGCUUGAUAACUGAAAUGUAUUUUAAUAUGAUUAAAAUGCUGUGAAUAUAGCAUUUU